RNAcentral lists this ribosomal RNA (450 nucleotides) under uncultured bacterium. RNAcentral describes it as "partial 16S ribosomal RNA". It matches the Rfam family "Bacterial small subunit ribosomal RNA", at positions 55 to 523 of the family's 1533-position model. The record is from RNAcentral.
AUGCAAGUCGAACGGCAGCACGGGUGCUUGCACCUGGUGGCGAGUGGCGAGCGGGUGAGUAAUACAUCGGUACGUACCGUGACGUGGGGGAUAACGUAGCGAAAGUUACGCUAAUACCGCAUACGUCCUGAGGGAGAAAGCGGGGGAUCGCCAGACCUCGCGCGUUAGGAGCGGCCGAUGGCGGAUUAGGUAGUUGGUGGGGUAAGGGCCUACCAAGCCGACGAUCCAUAGCUGGUUUGAGAGGAUGAUCAGCCAGACUGGGACUGAGACACGGCCCAGACUCCUACGGGAGGCAGCAGUGGGGAAUCUUAGACAAUGGGGGAAACCCUGAUCUAGCCAUGCCGCGUGAUCGAUGAAGGCCUUAGGGUUGUAAAGAUCUUUCAGGUGGGAAGAUAAUGACUGUACCACCAGAAGAAGCCCCGGCUAACUCCGUGCCAGCCGCCGCAGUAA